AUCUAACUAACGAGUCCUAAAAUAGGACGAAACGUGCAUUCUAGAU
This 46-nucleotide non-coding RNA is filed under the name Schistosoma margrebowiei. The record is from RNAcentral. Lineage: Eukaryota; Metazoa; Platyhelminthes; Trematoda; Strigeidida; Schistosomatidae.